RNAcentral lists this ribosomal RNA (461 nucleotides) under uncultured Pseudorhodobacter sp. Its description in RNAcentral is "bacterial SSU rRNA". It matches the Rfam family "Bacterial small subunit ribosomal RNA", at positions 8 to 491 of the family's 1533-position model. The record is from RNAcentral. Lineage: Bacteria; Pseudomonadati; Pseudomonadota; Alphaproteobacteria; Rhodobacterales; Paracoccaceae.
AGAGUUUGAUCCUGGCUCAGAAUGAACGCUGGCGGCAGGCCUAACACAUGCAAGUCGAACGGAUCCUUCGGGAUUAGUGGCGGACGGGUGAGUAACGCGUGGGAACAUACCCUUUGGUACGGAAUAGCCUCGGGAAACUGGGAGUAAUACCGUAUGUGCUCGAAAGAGGAAAGAUUUAUCGCCAAAGGAUUGGCCCGCGUUGGAUUAGGUAGUUGGUGGGGUAAUGGCCUACCAAGCCGACGAUCCAUAGCUGGUUUGAGAGGAUGAUCAGCCACACUGGGACUGAGACACGGCCCAGACUCCUACGGGAGGCAGCAGUGGGGAAUCUUAGACAAUGGGGGAAACCCUGAUCUAGCCAUGCCGCGUGAUCGAUGAAGGCCUUCGGGUCGUAAAGCCCUGUCGGGAGGGACGAAACCUUGGUGACCUAAUACGUCAUCGACCUGACGGUACCUCCUAAGAGC